UGAAACUUCUCAUAAAGUCCA
Molecule: non-coding RNA, 21 nt
Organism: Caenorhabditis elegans
Lineage: Eukaryota; Metazoa; Nematoda; Chromadorea; Rhabditida; Rhabditidae
Source: Ensembl